Molecule: RNase P RNA, 281 nt
Filed under: Mycoplasmopsis columbina SF7
Lineage: Bacteria; Bacillati; Mycoplasmatota; Mycoplasmoidales; Metamycoplasmataceae
Description: Mycoplasma columbinum SF7 Bacterial RNase P class B
Rfam family: Bacterial RNase P class B
About the family: Ribonuclease P (RNase P) is a ubiquitous endoribonuclease, found in archaea, bacteria and eukarya as well as chloroplasts and mitochondria.
Source: Rfam by way of RNAcentral
CACAUUGGUCAACAGCUAUUUGUAUAAAAUAGAGGAAAGUCCACGCUAACACAAUCUGCGAUGAUUGUAGUGUUCAUGCUGAGCCCAAUAAGCUCAGGCCUAGACGACUAGUGCCACAGAGACGAGAAUUGUGAAACGCGGUAAACUCCAUGAGUUAGAAACCCAAAUAUUGGUAGGGGAACCCUUUCGAUAGAAUAAUGAAUUGACAAAGGGAACUAAAAUUAUUUUAGUUAGAUAAAUUGUUGACACCUUGCAAAAGGAACAAAACGUGGCUUAUAGAU